This is an RNA transcript of Cyprinus carpio (common carp), 3105 nucleotides long. It is a transcript of the gene named B-cadherin-like, with no coding region annotated. The record is from RefSeq and is a predicted model, not a curated record. The transcript has 17 exons. Lineage: Eukaryota; Metazoa; Chordata; Actinopteri; Cypriniformes; Cyprinidae.
GUGUCAUAUGAGCAGCCUGGAUUACUGUAAGACACAGAGGAAAGCUCAGUCUCAGUGACGAUCUGCUUCAGCAUGAGGACCCUUCCUGUCAGCUUUCUCCUGCUGCUGUCUGUCUGGAGUGUGUGUGUAUGGGCUGACAGCGGGAGGAUACGACAGAAGCGUGCAUGGAUCAUUGAUUCGUUUAGUAUUGAGGAAGAACACCCUGGUCCGUUUCCAUACCCAAUAGGCAAGGUUGAACUCGACAGGUCUUAUUUAGUAAAUUAUGAACUACAUGGUCAGGGUGUGGAUAUAGAGCCAAAGAAUAUUCUCAGUAUCGAUAAAUCAGGUGUUGUUUAUGUAAACGGAACGGUGGACUAUGAACACGGCCCUAAAGUUCUCCGUUUGGCAUUUGAAGCAAGAAAUCAAUAUAAUAAAGAAGUGGAUACAAGACUUGGGGUUGAGAUCAAAAUAUUGGACGUAAAUGACAACGCACCAAAAUUUCAAAAGUCAGUCUAUGAAGUGACUGUGGAUGAGUCACAUGAUCAAGGCAAAGAAGUACUGACUGUACUGGCUUUUGAUGAGGAUGAUUCAAGUACAAACAAUGGAACAUUCGUUUUCACAAUCAAGUCUGUCACACCAAAGACAGAUAAUGUUGAAUUUUAUAUUCAGCAGCGAAAAGAAUCUGGGACCAUUCAUUUUAAGGGGUGUUUGGACUUUGAGAAAGCUCAGAAAUACACAAUCCUUGUUGAAGCAAAGGACAAAGGAGAAAAGAUACAGCUCUCAAGUACAAGUACACUGAUAAUCAAUAUUUCAGACAAUAACAACAAUCUUCCAGAGUUCUCUGGCAAAACGGGGCCAGGGAAGGUCAAGGAGAGAGAAGCUGGGGUUGAAGUUCUGCGACUGCAAGUAACAGACAAAGAUGUCCAUGGUACAAAAGCUUGGAAAGCCAAAUACACAAUCCACGGAGAUAAAAAUGAGAUAUUCAAAAUAGAAACAGACCCUGUUACGAAUGAAGGGAUUUUAACAGUUGUUAAGCAAACGGACUACGAGGAGCAAACAAAUCACAAUCUGUCCAUCAGUGUGCAGAAUGAAAUUCCUUACUUUUCCUGUAAGAUUAAAAAGAAAGUACAGAAUGCCAUGUGGGAGCUCGACAAAAUACUCCCAAACUCUGACACACGUUCUGCAAACCUCUAUAACACCUUUCCAGUGACCAUUUAUGUAGAAGAUGUCAAUGACCCUCCGGUGUUCAUACCCCCUGUUAAACACGUUGUGGUAAUGGAGAACAUAGAUGUAGGAACAAGUCUUACAACCUUCACCGCUAAAGAUAUGGAUGGAAGCCACGUAAACACAUUUACAUUCGUUAAAGGUGAAGAUAUUGAUAAAUGGAUAACUAUUGGUGCAAAGACUGGAGAAGUAUCCACAAUUAAAAUUCUGGAUAGAGAGUCACCAUUUGUGAUAAACGGCACCUAUACAGCAACCCUGUAUGCUGUUGAUGAAGGUGUUCCUCCGCUGACAGGCACUGGAACUCUAGUGAUUCACCUGAAUGAUCAAAAUGAUAACGUACCAAUUCUGGAGAGGAAUGCAGUCAGCAUUUGCAUAGAUAAAGAGCCCACAACGGCCAACAUCACAGCCGUAGACCUGGACUUUCCUCCAUUUGGAUCGCCUUUCUACUAUGAGAUUUUAGAAGAUGUUAAGGACAAAUGGAGGGUUGAACCAGCUCAUGGCACAACAGUGAGUCUUGUAAAAGGAAAAGGUGUGUAUUCAGGUCAUCACCUCCUCCAGAUGAAAAUAUCAGACCAGCAGGGAUUUUACUCCAUCCAGAACCUGACGGUCACGGUGUGUGACUGCUCUGUCACUCCCAACUGCCACAUCAGGAUGGUCUCGCAGACUCGGAUGGGGCCUGGUGCCGCCUUGAUAGUUGUUCUCGCAAUUCUGAUUCUUUCAGCAAUGUGCUUAAUGAGUCUACUGUUAUCCUGUAAGGAAAAUAAAAAAAUGAUUUUGAUAGAUGAUGGCCUCGGUCAUCUCAUCACAUCAAAUACAGAAAAUCCAGGAACAGACUGCAUGGUGUCUUCCAGUUUAGUUAUUCACAAAACUGAUUCUUCCAAAGUAAACGGAACAAGUGUGACUAAAAAUGUAAAGGUCACAACACAAACUGUGAUGCAAUAAAGGACAGAAGGCUGUUUCACAGACUCCAUGGUUAGUUUACAACGACCAGAUGUUCAAACACUCAACGUACAGGAAUUCCACAAGACGUACAUACAGAGAAAAUUUUCAGAAAUCGUGUGUCAUAUCAAGUUCUAGAAGCAAUUAUUCUUACAACAUCAAUGCAUCUUACUUGAGUGAAAACCUUGCCUUUCUCAUCCACCAGAAACUACUUGCUCUCCAAACCCGUGAUGAGCAACGUGGUAUUUACAAAGCGCACUGUUACACAGAUGAAGGACAACCUGCAGCCAGUGAUGAACUGGACGCAAUAUCCAUUCCAGAGGACGACUUUCAUCCAGAGAUGCUUAAAAAUCUGGACAGCAGGUUCAGUCGGCUAGCAACAAUCUCCAGACCUGACCUGAUGAGAAGGUGAACAUUAUCUCAGGAAGUGUAGCCUAUAAAUAUUUAGGACAAAAUGCAAAAAAAUGAAUUUUUACUACAUUUCUACAGUAUCAAUGAUCCUGAAGGCAAAAAUACAGUGCUUGCAAAGCAACAAAGGAAUAUAGCAUAAAUAGUUUUAGGUGAGCUCAGGGUUUUGGCUUUUGUUCUGUUUAUUUUCUUUCUGGAAGGUGUUUUUUUUUUCACUGUGUUCAUGUGCAAUAAUUUGCAGACAUUUAAUCCCCCCAAAAUAGGGUGUUAUAAUUAUUUGAUGAAACCUCCUCUAAGAGAACACGGGUGGAUGGUGAUAGUAGCGUUUUUAGUUGCUGAUAUGCGUGUUGAAGAGAAUGUAUAUUUUGACUGUGUCAUGUAAACUCCUGACUUAUCUGAGUCUGUUGUUCCCCUGGGCGUGAAACUGCUCUGUUGUUUUAGGUGUUUUUAAUCCUUAACUGUAAAAACGUGAAACUCUGACUUGUUUUUUAGUGUUAUUUGUACACUGGUGUAUGGGAAUCGAUGAACAUUUAAUAAAACUCUUUGUUUAAUCUA